CGGUUUGUUCAUCAGACCUUAUGUAAAGCAUUUUAGUAAAGCAGUUCUCAGUUCAAGCGUUAUCCUCAGAUACAUCUUCUCCGUGAGUCUCCUCCUAAAGUCCCAUAAGUUAUUCUGAAACGCAGACCACGGUGCUACAACGUAGCGAAAAAAAUAUGUGAGGAAGUUUCUAUGUCUACCCAACUGACUGGUUUAGUAAAAUGGUUUAACGCUGAUAAAGGCUUUGGCUUUAUCACCCCUGAUAACGGCACGAAAGACGUGUUCGUCCACUUCUCAGCGAUUCAAAGCGACAGCUUUAAGACGCUCGAAGAAGGUCAGCGUGUGAAGUUCACCGUUGAAAAUGGCGCGAAAGGCCCUGCGGCUGCUAACGUUAUUGCUGAAUAAAUUCAGCCUG
This 394-nucleotide small RNA is filed under the name uncultured Buttiauxella sp. RNAcentral describes it as "cspA thermoregulator". It matches the Rfam family "cspA thermoregulator", at positions 3 to 383 of the family's 428-position model. Lineage: Bacteria; Pseudomonadati; Pseudomonadota; Gammaproteobacteria; Enterobacterales; Enterobacteriaceae. The record is from RNAcentral.